RNAcentral lists this long non-coding RNA (22157 nucleotides) under Nicotiana tabacum (common tobacco). RNAcentral's name for it is "long non-coding RNA (NTAB_LNC007028)". The record is from RNAcentral. Lineage: Eukaryota; Viridiplantae; Streptophyta; Magnoliopsida; Solanales; Solanaceae.
AAGUGAACUACUCAUAUGAAAGAAAAUCCAGAUUACAGUUAAGUGGUAAAGAAAAUAGUAUUUUAAUGGCUGAGUUCAACAUCACAAAUCAUGCUUGCAAAGAAUAACUACUCCGUAAACUCUACAUUUGAAAUUGAGAGAAUCAAAUGAUCAAAAGCACAAUUAAUUUUAUACAACCCGGUUUGAAAUGAAUUAGAUAUAUUCUAUUUAUUGAAGACAUGGAGAAGGCUUCAACGUUCGCGACUUCUCAGGGCAGUUUCAAGCUCACAAUCAAAGCACAACACUGUUAUCAAUUCAACCAACACUUCAAAUUAAUUCCAGAAGCUCAUAAACUCCAUUUAUAUUCAGUGGUCAUGCUAUAAUACAGAUUAUCACUCAACAGCAAAAAGGUCAUAUGAACAAACUGAAAAACUCAAAUUCAUUACAAAUUGGAACCAGUACAGGGAUAAUGGUAAUAGGUGAAUAAACGCAACUAAAAAAUUUAGCUUCUUAACGCAGAUACAAACACAUCACAACUGAACAAUCAGUGUAAAUAAACCUUAUAUCAAUUAACAUGGAUACAUGAAAUUAAACAUGGACAUAACAUGCAAUUCAGAUCUUCAAGUAAACAUCCUAACAGAGAAAUACAGAAAUCCGUGAGGAUGAAGGAAUAUGUGUGAGAUUUCUGCAGAGAAUUAGUGUGUUUUUUUCUGAAGAAUGCAGAGAUAAAAGAUGCCUAAAAUAUGUGUGUAAGUGAGUUUUUUAGGCAGAAAAAUGAGGGAAUGUGUGAGAGAAUCUAUCAGCUAAAAAAUAGGAAAGAAGCAUCAGUUUUUAACUGAUUUUUGGACAAUUGUCCAUUCAGAUUAUUCCUUCCUCUUUUAACAGCCCCUUUAACUUCUGAAUUUACCCCUUUUUACCCCAAGUUUGACCUAAUUUCCCUUAUCUUAUUACAAUUUAAUCCCUUUCUAGAAGCUUCCUACAUAGCUAUCUAAGAUUCCCUAUUUUGCUUUCCCAAUUACCGCUUAAAUUUCUGAUAUUUAAAAACAAACUAUAACAGGAAAAUCAAACAAAUCCAAAGAUUAAGCAGAACUGAAAAUUAUGCAAAUUAAUCGAAUAAUCUGGUUCAAUAUCUAAAUUAAUUCAAAAUCAAUUACCCUAACAACUCAUGCAAUUAACUAACUAACAUGUAAUUAAAUAUUAACCAAAUCAUGCAAAAUAUGAGACUAUCUAAUCAUAAAUCCUAAUUGGUAUGAAUCAUGUUUAACAUUUGAGAAGAGCGGCAUACUUUGAGAAAACCGGAAGAAGAGAAAACUAAUUAAUCGAAUAUGAAAGAAAAGAAAGAAAUUACCUAUUAAUCUUUAAACAAAACACCACAGAGCUAUGGCGGAAUUUGGACGGUCAAACAACGGCUUUGAUCAAAAUGUGACCUCCGAGAUAUGAUGGUAGACUAUAAUCUCGUAUUUUAGUCGCUUAUUGCACUCUAAUUUGCUGCAGUUUACUUGUGUUUGAGCUUUAAUUAAUAGUGUUUUGCACUUACUAUGUAUUUUAUGCCUUGUAAGAAUGAUUCCGAGCUAUGUAGAUGUUAUUGAAUGAUUUGAGCUUUGAUGUCUGAGUAAAAGCCCAAGAGAUUAAGCCGAGAUCAUGUUCGGGGGUCGAUGACCACGUCUGGACGUCAAAAAGCAAGAAAAAUCCAUACUAUGAGAAAUCCCCACUGCCGCGGUGCAUGGGGCGCCGCAGCUGUGCAUUUCUCUACUGCCUGUCAGAACUAGCUCCCUGAAUUUCCCUACUAAUGCCCCGCAUGGCGCAUCGCCCCAUGCGGCGCGCCUGUGCAAUUUUUACAGAGGUAUUUACCUAUUUCGGCUAGGAGAAGGUAAUUUCGUCUGGCCCGACCCAACUUGGUAUAAAUACAUUAAAAAAUAUUAUAUCCUGGACUUUUGGCAGGAGUGGGAGGAGUAAAAGCACAAGGAUUUCAUCAUUCCUUCCUCACUCAAGACCCGACUUUGGAUAGAAUUUAUGUUUUCCUAUAGUUUAAUUGUAUUUGUGAUGAGUUGCUCCAUAUAUAUGGAGUAGUUCUCGUUAGGGUUUGAUAGAUUUUAUGUAUUGAUGAUUGUUUGUGGAUUAUAAUUCUAGUUUUAUGUAUUGAAGCAUUUCUGGAUGAUAUAAUUGUUGUAUAUAUAUUCACUUGUUCAUGUAGUCGAGAGAGGCAUAACUUGUGAUAUCUUUGCAUUAUCUUGUUGGUUGAGUUCAAUAAUUCUUCUUAGUAAUCGAACGAGGCUAGUUGAAUCAUUGAUUAAACUUAGUUAGGAGGAUAAUCGAGGGAGGAUAUCCUAAAGACCAAUCCACUAGGCAUUCUUGCAUAUCUUCACGUUCUUAAAAUUGGUUCAUCUUGUGAGGUUAAGACUUAAUCGAGAGAGGAAUUUUUACUGAACGUUUGAACUAAUAAUUGAGUGAAUUAGAGAGACUCACUUAAACAUUAGAAGUGAAUUAUCUAGAGUUAGAUCCCAAACUAUUAUCUUGCACCUAUCCUAUCAACCCCUAUUUUUCUCCCACUGAUAACUUUCUCGCUUACCUUUGUUGCGAUAUUCAUUAGUCAAUAGCUUUAUAUUCUUAGUUAAUUUUAGUUAUUCAUCAUAAAAACAUCGAUUGUUGAUUCUCCUGGAUAGCAAUAAAGCUAGAAAUAUGAAAAUAUUUAUUAACUCUAAUCCUUGUGGAUACGAUAUUAUACUAUACUAUCUUUGAAUAGCGAACAUAAUUAAAGUGGUGUUUUGCACUCGCCAAAUUUUGGCGUCGUUGCCGGGGAUUGUCAAUUAACAGUGUUUGAAAUAGUUUGUACUAAUUUAUGUAUUUUUCUUUUAUUUUUAUUUUAUUUUUCUCUUUUUACAUUUGGUAUUAUUUGAUUGUGCGCAUGUUACAGGUUAGAUUGUUGCAUGACUCGAACCUCUCCGAAGGAAGUGCUGCCAUACGAGCCAGAAAUUAAAAAACAACUGCGAUGCUGAAGAAGGAAGAAAUCUCACAGAGAUAAUAGAAAAUGUUGGGCGAUUCUCAACCAAAGAACUUAUGGUUGUAAACGGUGAAGAUAAUGUGGAUUUGGCUGCGAGAGAAGCAGCCCAACAAAGAGAACAAGUUGCAUGGGAUGUUGAGGUAGCAACUAUUAGAGAUGCGCAUAACAUCUAUGAAGAAGAGAGGGGUCUCAAACCUAAUCGACAUCAACCCUUUUUGUAACACCCAGGAAAAUUUUGAAGAAAUUAAGUGUAAAGCACGGUAAAAUUUACAAAGAAAAUAAUGUUUUGGGUUGAACAAUGCACGGGAAAGUAAAAAAAUAUUUUUGGCAAAACUGUGCAUUUCUGCGGUCCAUUAUGCGACCGCAGAAUCACGCGGACGGCAUAAUGGCCGCAGAGUGACACAGUUAUUUGGGUCAGUUGUAAGCAAUUAUGCGGUCGACUAUGCGACCGCAGAACAGUUAUGCGGACCGCAGACUCACGCAGAUUUUUAUAAUUUUGGACACCAAUUAUGCGACCCAUAUGCGGUCCGCAUAACCAUAAUGCGGUUGCAUAUGCGACCGCAGAACCUAUUCCGGAGCUUCAUUUUUGAGUUUUUAAAACUCGACCCUAUUUCGUUACAUACAUGCAAAGGGUCAUUUUUGAGCAAAUAUUCUGAUGUUUUAAAGAGAAGGGAGAGUGUUUUAGAGAGAGAGAAAACUCUAGGCUAAUUAUUCAUCAAAUCUUGCUCAAACCUUGGAAGAUUAACAAGGGAAACCCACAAGCUAUUCAUCUAAGAGGUAAGGUUCCAUACCCUAGUUUUCAAUUUCAAAUUUGGGUAGAAGAUGGUUGAUUAGGAGUAUGAUUCAUGGGUAUUAGAGUAUUAUUUAUACAUGCAUGUACCAAUAAAAAUUGUGGGAAGAUUGUUGAACUUAAAUAAGUAAAGAUUGGGUUGUGGGAUGAUGGAAUCCUCCAUAAAAGGACCUUGAACCUUAAUUCACACUUAGUGUUUGAUAAAAUGCUCAAAUGAGCUGAGACCAUGAAUAUCUUCCUAAUUAUGGUUCAAUUUUGUUAUGUCUCAAAUAGAUUGGGAUUGCUAGAAUUUCCGGAACGUUGUAGUAAUUUAAAUAAAGCUCAAUUGAGGUAUGUUGGCUAAACUUUCUCUCUUGGAAUUGAAUUCCAUAAUGUUACCGUGAGUUUCAAAGUAUGGGUUGCGUAUUAAAAUGUUAUGGCUUUGAAUCGUAUUUCAAAUGAAAGCUAGUAGUCCAAAUUGUAUGAGAAACCCUCAAUAUUCUUAAGACUCUUAAUUGCUCAUAUGUGUAACUAAAGUCUUGAUUGGGAAUGUCUUAUUGUUGAUAACCUAUAAAGAUGUUUGGAAGUGAAAUCAGUGAAUUGGGGGUAUAAAGUGUGGCCAACGUGCCAAUAGUGAAACGUAUACUUGUGGCCAAUGGUGCCGAUGUAAUGAAAUAAUGUGAGAAAGAUUAUGAAAUGAGCUUUGAAUCAAUUAUUCCAAAAUUGACUUCGACAAUAAAAUCGGCUAAAAUAUUAUGAACUUAAGUGAUGCCCAUAUGUGGUUGUUUUAGCUAAUGAUAUGCUUUGUAAGUAAUUUUCAAUGUGCUUUACACUCUUACAUAUUCGUGAGUGGAAAUUGUGUAUAAUUUUAAUUUGUACUUUGAUUGCCAAUCAUUGUACUCCUUUUAUUGGUAGUGGAAAUUGUGUAUAAUUUUAAUUUGUACUUUGAUUGCCAAUCAUUGUACUCCUUUUAUUGGUAAGAAAUCGAUUAUGUUUAAAGCCUUCAUUACUAAUGAACUUAAAGUUGUGAUUUUCGGAAUAUUCUACUUAUUGAUAAUUAUGAUGAUGAUCUAUGAAAGGGAAGAAAUGAAAGUGUGGAAUAUAAAAUACGGCCAUUGCGCCAUGAAUAAAGAAUAAUAUGUUUGGACAAGAGAGCCAAUAAAAUAAUAAUGUUUUAAGUGGUUGAAAGUACUGAUUAGGUGAUAUUUGAUGUGAAAGGUUAUGAGAUGUACGCAUUUGUACUUUUGUUUGCAAUGUGUUAAUAAACCCUAUGGACGGUCUUUGAAACGCAUAGGUAUAUUGUGUUAUAAAACCCUAUGGAUGGUCUUUGAAACGCAUAGGUAUAUUGUGUUAUGAAACUCUAUGGACGGUCUAUAAAACGCAUAGGUAUAUUAUGCUAUGAAACCCUAUGGACGGUCUAUGAAACGCAUAGGUAUAUUAUGUUAUGAAAUUUUAUGGACGGUCUAUGAACGCAUAGGUACAUUGUGUUAUGAAAUCCUGUGGACAGUCUAUGAACCGCAUAGGUACAUUGUGUUAUGAAAUCGUGUGGGGGGUCUAUGAAACGCAUAGGUACAUUGUGUUAUGAAAUCCUGUGGACGAUCUAUGAAAUGCAUAGGUGCAUUGUGUAUAAGAGGUAUAGAUGUACGGUAUGAAUAAACACUAUGGACAGUCUAUGGAACGCACAAGUGUAUAAUUUGAUAUGUAUUCCACGUAUAGAUCAUAUGGGCAUUCUAUUUUGAAAGAGGAUUUCUAGCUAUACAUACUAGUGCUAUUCGACAGUACUAACGUCCCUUUUGCAGGGGGCGCUGCAUCUUUAAUGGAUGCAUGUGGUUCUAUAGUAGGUGGCAUUGAUCAGCGAUAGCAGUACACUCCUUUCAGCCGAUUUGGUGAGCCCCACUUCAUUUCGGGGUCAUGUAUCUUUUGUUUCUCAGGCACUUUGUGGUUGAGGUAUAGCCGGGGCCUCGUUGCCGGCAUUUACAUAUUACUCUCCAAUUGUACUUAGAGGCUCCGUAGACAAGUUGUGGGUGGUAUUUGAUGUUGGGAAUUGGAUUAGAACUGUUGGUGUUUGGCAACAUAUUUUUCAUCUAUAAACUCGUACUAUUUUGGAAAUAUUGAAUUAUGCUAUUAAUGGGAAUGAAAUAGAAGCGGUUAAUGAAAUUUCUUCAAUAUUUGAUUAACGAAGUACAUCUCCGCUUUAUUCACUAAUGAAUCUGGGUAGAAUGAAAUAUAUCAGGCUUGCUCAAUCGGGUUCACUCGGUUGAGCGCCAGUCGCGCUCCUCGAUUUUGGGGCAUGACACUUUCUAGGGAGACCACUUGGUGAUUAUGCUAGACCGGUCUAAAGUCAAGGUUUAUCAAGUGUUAGACCACCUCCAAUUGCAGCAAAUAAUUUUGAGUUAAAGCAAGGGUUGCUUCAAACCCUUCAGAAUUAUUGUGUCUUAAGAGGGAAGCCAAACGAAGAUCCAAACACACAUCUAAUGGACUUCGAGGAGAUUAUGAACACCUUUCAAUACAAUGGUGUGUCACGAGAUGUAGUGUACUUGAGGGCAUUCCCCUUCACACUCAAAUACGAUGCAAAAUAGUGGCUUUGAAGCUUAACCACAGGUUCGAUUAGAACAUGGAAGGAGAUGACCAGAAAAUUCCUUGAUAAAUAUUUAUCUUCAGCUAAGACCGGAAAGUUCAGAUGAGAAAUCCAUAACUUCUGUCAGAAACAGCAUGAAACUGUUUUUCAAGCACGGAAGAGGUUUAACGAGAUUGUUAGAAAGUGUCAACAUAGCGGAAUACAACUCUGGAUGCAACUCCAGGACUUUUGGGAUGGAUUGACACCGGCCUCAUGUAGAACAUUGAGCAAUGCAGCUGGAGGCCCGUUGAUGAAGAAGAAUUCAUAGGAGAUAGUUACUGUUCUUGAUUAGUUAUCUAAAGAGGCUAAUCAGUGGCCCAGUGAGAGUGCUAAAACAAGAAGAUCAAAUGGUGUUUGUCAGGUUGAUGCUAACACAUUUGUGCAGGUACAGCUUGAUGCUAUGGCCAACGAGAUAAGGAGGUUGACCUUAGCCUCGAUACAAAGUGUGCCUCACACAGCUUAUGAUAUAUGUGGAAGAGGACACCCUACGCAUGAGUGUCAAGCCUCAAGAAGUGAAUGCUGUGGGAAAUUACAUUUUCAAUGCAAUGGGUCAGGGGCACCCCGAUAUUUCAUGGAGUUCACCUGGGGGUAAUGCAAAUGCAUGGCAACAAAAAAACUCUAGAACCCAGGGACAAAGAGCUCAAGCAUACCAAAAUCAGCAGAGACAGCAAUUUCAGCCUUAACAACCCAUUCAGUCUGGCAUAGAAGAUCUCACGAAGGCCUUCAUUCUAAAAACUGAUGAGAGGCUUGAAACUCAUAGCGUAGCUAUAUGGAAACAUGGAGCAGCUAUCAAAAAAAUAGGUAUUAGUUUUCAAAACUUGGAAAUACAGGUUUGGCAGCUAGCCACUCUAUUGUCUGAGAGGAUUCCAGGAACUCUGCCCGCUGAUACUGAGAGAAAUCUCAAAGAAACAGUGAAUGUUGUGACCUUGAGAAGUGGGAAAGUGUUGAAGGAUUCUACCCCUAUCCAAAACGUUGUGAUAAUUGUAAAAGAAAGUGGGGAGCAACUGAAAAGUGAUGAUAACAAGAAGAAGAAAGGCCCAAUAAAAACUGAGAAAAAGAAGAAGGGAAAAAAAUCGAGAAAGGGAGGAACCUCAGAAGAGCGAGCAUGUGCCUGGUUUACCUUUUCCCAAAAGCUAUAUAGAGAAAGGCUGGACAAGCAGUUUGAGAGAUUUCUAGAUGUGCUAAAACAAGUCCAUGUAAACUUACCAUUUAUAGAAGUGCUCUUACAAAUGCUUGCUUAUGCCAAAUUUAUGAAGGAGAUCAUGACAAAGAAGAGGAAAAUAGAGAAGACCUCAAUGGUCAAGGUUAUAGAGCAUUGCAGUGCUAUAUUGUAAAAUAAACUCCCACAAAAGUGUGGAGAUCCAGGGAGAUUUACUAUACCAUGCUCAUUAGGGACUAUAAAUUUUGAUAAGUCUUUAUGUGAUUCUGGUGCAUCAAUUAACUUAAUGCCUCUAUCUAUUUACAGGAAACUGGAGAAGUAGAUUUGAGAGAUAAGGUCGGUGCCAAUAUUUUUGUAGCUGGAAGACCAAACGAACUUAAUACCCGAAGGGAUAGUAGAAUAUGUGUUAGUUCGGGUGGAUAAGUUUGUAUUUCCUGUAAAUUUUAUAGUGAUGAAUAUGGAGGAGAACAAGGAGGUCCCCCUCAUCUUAGGAAGACCAUUCUUAGCGAUGGGUAGAGCUAUACUAGAUAUACACGAGAGACAAUUCAUGCUUAGAGUGGGUGAGGAGACUGUGACUUUUGAUAUGAAUGUAGAAAAGGGGGUGCAAGAAGAAAAAUCAAUUGCGAAUGUUCAGUGGAAAGUGAAGGGCACAAAAGAGAAGGCUACACUGAGUGAGAAAGAUAAGUGUGGGGUGUACCCCAAAAAGGGUGAGAAGAAGUUGUCGGCAUGGAUGCAUUAGUCUGAAUGCGAGAAAUGGAUCCCGAUUUGACUCAGACCCCGAGUAGAUGUUCAGGGAAGCUUACAUUACCUUAUGCUUUUUAAUUGUGUGUCAUGGGGAUAUGCCACAACUUAAAGUUUGGGGUGGGGGAUAAUUGUAUGUUGUAUGUAUAUAUGUUAGUUUUGUCAGUUGUAGUAGUUGGAAAAUUGAAAAAAACAUAAAAAUUGAAAAACACAAUCGAUUUUUCCCGUUGAUGGAUAUCAUUCGACGGGUUUCUUGAGGGAUUAAAGUCGAAAUAAAAAAGACAAAAAGAUUCUCUUUUGUAGGUAGUGUAUUAAUUUUCCCUUGGUUUUUCUUUGUGCCGCGGUUAUUUUUCAAGGUUUUUGUUUGAACCAUGUGUAGUUAGUUUUUAUUGUUUUUAGGAGUAGGCAACCUAGUGCUAUGAUUUGAAUUGUAGGCAAUAUCUCUUAACUUUAUUAUACCUUUAGAAUUGUGAGUGUUUUAAUUGUGACGCUUAGGCUCAGUUUUUUACUCUUGUAUAAGUACUUUAAAUUGUAUGAUCUUAACUUUGCUUAACUCCUUUUACUAGAGUGUCUUGAUAGUCUGAUCUGAGUGAGUUAUGUGCCAUGUGUGUGCGGUUUUGUGUUAUUCUGUGCAUCGCAUUUGAUAUCUAGAACUUUCCCCGUGUGUUUGCAAAGCAAAAUAGUAGUUUUAUUCAGUCUUGGAAGUGAUUUAGGCAUUUCUUUGUUGAGCCAGAUAUAUGCUUUUAUCCACCUAAUUGUUAUGUAUCUUAGUAAACUCCUUUGAUCCUGUAAUCCUAUUUGUUAGGUAACCACAUUACAAUCCCUAUCCAUUUGUUUGAAUUGACCAUCUAUUUGAACGUUUUACCUCUCGUGAGCACUUGAAUUUGAUAUGAACUUGCAAAAGUUGAAGUGUGGGAUGGUUGGUUUGGCUUUUGAGUGGAAUUAUUGAAAUAAGGAGAAGGUGCAAUGUUUUGAAAAAGUAAGAGCCACUUGAAUUGAAAAGGAAAGAAAAAAUAAGUGUAUGAUUGUGAACAAUAUUCCUUGAUAAUGGUAACUCCUGAUAUAUUUGUGCUUAAAGAAGUAGGGAGUUAAUGUGUAUUGAUGUGAAGGUGGAGUUUUGGUUUGACAUAAGUGUUGGGUUUUGAAUGGUUAAUUGUAUGUAUUAAAGUGCUUAUGGAGGUAUAGUCAAUCAUAUAUCUAAUUUUAUCCUACUAAUCCUACAGCCUACAUUACAACUAAUUAAAGUCAUAACUUGAUCCUUGACUGAAUGAGCUCAAUUAGUAGAGUAGUACACUACGGGCAAGCUUAUCGUACGUCUUUUGUGGCAUAUGAAUGUUGUUUAUGAGAGUGAGCAAAUUCUUUCUAUCUUUAGUUCCUAAUUGUUCUUAAAUUUCAUUAUGUGUGGGACUACCCUCUAUUGUUAUGUCAGGGAACUUAAUUCACGAAGGAAAAGUAAUGCUUGACCUCUCUGUUAGAGUAAGUGAGCGGUUUACAAAUAAUGCGUGGUGCUUUUGAGUCAAAUCUUGAGGUGAGGAUGUUGCGGUAUUGUACUUAAUCUAUUUUAAAUAUUCUUGGUAUGAUAAGUUAUGAGAGUUGUUUAAAAAGGUCGUGCCUAUGUGAAGUUUAAUUUAAUUACUCGAGGAUGAGCAAUAGUUUAAGUGUGGGGUGUUGAUGGUAGGCUAUAAUCUCCUAUUGUUGUCUCUUAUAUCACUCUAAUUUUCUGCACUUUACUUGUGUUUGAGCUUUAAUUAAUAGUUUUUUGCACUUACUGUGUGUUUUAUGCCUUGUAGGAGUGAUUCCGAGCUAUGUAGAUGUUAUGGAAUGAAUUUGGGUGAUUUGGAGCUUUGAAGUCUGAGUAAAAGCCCAAGGGAUUAAGAAGGGAUCGUGGUCGCGGGUCGAGGACCAAGUCUGGACGUCAAAACGUAUGCAAAAUCUGUACUCUGAGAAAUCUCCACUGCCGUGACGCGUGGGGCAACGUGUGGGGUGCCGCAGCUGUGCAUUUAGCUGGUGCCUACCAGAACUAGCUCUCUGGAUUUCCCUACUAAUGCCCUGCAUGGCGCGUCGCCCCCAUGCGGUGUGCCUGUGCAAUAUUUACAGAGUUAUUUUCCUAUUUCGACUAGGAGAAGGUGAUUUCAUCUGGGCCCGACCCUACUUGGUAUAAAUACAUGGGAAAACAAAAUUUGUUGGACUUUUGACACAUAGUAGACCUAAGGAGGCUAAGGAGGAGUGGGAGGAGCAAUAGCACAAGGAUUUCAUCAUUCCUUCCUCACUCAAGACCCGAGUUUGGAUCGAAUUUAUGUUUUACUAUACUUUAAUUAUAUUUGUGAUGAAUUGCUCCAUAUCUAUGGGGUAGUUCUCUUUAGGAUUUGAUGGAUUUGGUGUAUUGAGUAUUGUUUGUGGAUUAUAACUCUAGUUUUAUGAAUUGAUGCAUUUUUUGAUGAUUUAAUUAUUGCAUCUAUAUUCACUUGUUCAGGUAAUCGAGAGAGGCAUAACUUGUGAUAUCUUUUCAUUAUCUUAUUGGUUGAGUUCCACAAUUCUUCUUAGUAAUCAAAAGAGGCUAGUUGAAUCACUGAUUAAACCUAGUUAGGAGGAUAAUCGAGAAAGGUCCUCCUAAAGACCAUUCCACCACGCAUUCUUGCAUAUCUUCACGUGCUUAAAAUUGGUUCAUCUUGUGAGGUUAUGACGUAAGCGAGAGAGGAGUUUUGACUGAACGUUUGAACUAAGAAUUGAGUGAAUCCAAUAGACUCACUUAAGCAUUAGAAGUGAAUUAUCUAGAGUUAGAUCCCAAAUAAUUAUCUUGCACCUAUCCUAUCAACCCCUAUUUUUCUGCCACUGAUAACUUCAUUUCUUACCUUUGUUGCGAUAGUCAUUAGUCAAUAUCUUUAGAUUCUUAGUUAAGUUUAGUUAUUCAUCAUAAAACCCUCAAUUGCUGAUUCUCCUGGAUAGCAAUCAAGCUAGAAACUACGAAAAUAUUGUUUAACUUCAAUCCCUAUGGAUACCAAAUUAUACUAUAGUAGUUUUGACUAGCGAGCAUAAUUAAAAAGGUGAAGGUUUGAGGUGAGCCGUCGGAGAGAGGUGAAUUUGUAACAUACGGCGGCUAGGGUUUAGAGAGAUGAGGGAGAUCGGUUAAAUGGGAAGUCUCUAAGGUUUGGGGGUCGGGUUCAGACAACUAUAUGGGUGGGGGGGGGAGGAUUAGUUACAAGUCGUUGGAUGAAGGAAGGUCAACGAUUGGGGAAUAAGGGGGCCAAACAGGGUCAUUUUGGGUUAGCGAGGGGGUUGGACCAGGUAGUGGGAGUGGACUGGGGCAGUUUUGGAGAAAACUUGGGUUUGAAACAAAAGCCCAGUCCGGUUUUAUCUUAGCAUCCCUCCUCUUUCAUUUCCUUCCUUGUCAGAUUUUGCAAAAUUAACCAUUUUUAAAGAAAGGCAAAAUUAAAACUUGAUGCCUAUUCCAUUUACCACGUGAACUAAUUAACUAUUUUAUAUUAACUAAAUAAAGCAAGGAAUAUGCAAACUAAAACGACAAAUGUUUUUUUAAAUCAAAUAUCUAUGUGAUUAUGCCUUUAAAAUAUUUCAAAUAAAUACCUAAAAUGCAAAGAUGAAUGAAAACAUAUUUUUGAUGGUUUUAGAAUAUUCCUAAUGAUGCAAAUGAUCUACUCAUAUGAUAAAAGUGCAAUCUAAAUUUCUACAAAGCAAUUAAAAUUAUUUUGAAUAUUUUUUAGGAGUAGUUUUAUAUAUGGAGCAAAAAUUACGUGCUCACAACUACCCCUCUUUGCUUGAAAACAUGAAGAGUUUCGGCAAAGAUAAAGUAAGCAACUACGAAAACUUGUAUGCCCUUUUGAUACUUCAUGGGAAGCAUUUUGGAAAGUUUGACCGAACCUUGCCUCAGCGGUUGCCUACAUAUCCUUGGCUAUAAAGGAAUCAAGUCAGUGUUGUUGUAAAAAUUUUGGUAGCUCGGACUACCAUAAAGCUGUGAUUUCACUGUUGUUGCUGCUGUUACGGCUUGCUGAACUCUUUAUUACACCAAAAUCAGACAUGAAAAGAAACUAAACAAGCUUAUCAGCUAUGAGUUAGAAGAUUCCUAUCUACAAGUCUUCUGAAACUUGAUCUUGAGCCUUGACUAUUUAUUCAUGCAGACUCUGAUCUGAACCUUAAUGCUUGCUAGCUGCAGGUUCUAGUUCAUUCUUCUACGGCUUCUUCUGAUGAAAACGGAAAUGCAAUGCUCGUGACUUCAGUCAUGUCUUGAGCAGUCCACAUCUUUUAAUCAACUUCUGUAUUUUGGAUUCACUUUUUUUUCUUUUCUUUAAUCUGGAUUGAGACUUUUUCUUUUGGUUAUCUUGAACCGUGAGCGUCAAAGUAAAACAUGCUCAGACACCAAAACAAGCAAACGAAUGAAAUGUUUUGGCCGCAUUUUUCACUAGAAAAAUUUCAUGAGUUAUUGAAAGCAAUAAAAGAUCGGGGUUGGUGUACCCUAGGAAAACAUGGUUCUUUGGGAAUGGUGUACCCUGAUUGUCUAAAUGGUGCCUCAACUAAGGAUUGGUGUGCCUUAUGUCGAGGAAAUACGAAGAAGGAAUGGUGUACCCUAUGUCUAAAAUAACAUCAACUAGGGAGUGGAGACCCUAUGCUGGAAAAGAAAAGUAGGGAGUGAGACCCUCUGUCUAAAAUAAUGUCAACUAGGGAGUGGAGACCAUAUGUCUAAAAUAAAAUCAACUAGGGAGUAGAGACCCUAUGUUGGAAAAGAAGACUAGGGAGUGGAGACCCUAUUUAUAAAAUAAACAUCAACUAGGGAGUGGAGACCCUAUGAUGGAAAAGGAGACUAGGGAGUGGAGACCCUAUGUCUAAAAUAAAAAUCAAUUAGAGAGUGGAGACCCUAUGUUGGAAAAGAAGACUAGGGAGUGGAGACCCUAUGUCAAAAAUAAAAUCAACUAGGGAGUGAAGACCCUAUGUUGGAAAAUGAGACUAGGGAGUGGAGACCCUAUGUUGGAAAACGAGUCUUGGGAGUGGAGACCCUAUGUCUAAAAUAUCGUCAACUAUGUAGUGGAGACCCUAUGUUGGAAAAGGAGACUAGGGAGUGGAGACCCAUGUCUUAAAUAACAUCAACUAGGGAGUGGAGACCCUAUGUUAUAAAAGGAGACUAGGGAGUAGAGACCCUAUGUCUAAAAUAAAAUCAUGAUUUUGAACUUUGUUUUUUCUUUCUUUUUUCAUCAUUUCAAUCAUUCAUUUUUUUAGAGAAUGAGUAAAUGCAGGAAAGAAUUUGGAGAAGACAUCCCUUUUGGAGUUGUUGCUGCUGCAGAGCUGUUUCUAGCCCCCGCGCAGUUUCUUUUGGUUGCACCUGCUUCUUGAAAGGUUGCUUUUAGAUUGCACCUAUUUCGUGUUUUUCAAACAAAGAACAAUUUAUCAGUUUGAAAUGGUGGUUGGUUUUGUAGCCUUGAAUGUUUUAGUCACUUUAUCUCGGUACGGCUUCUUUGAUGAUACUUUCAACUGUAACUGGAUGUUUCCUGAAUACCGAUUUCACUUAUGGCCCAGAGAACCUUUGGCUUUUCCAAACUUUGCCAUGACGGUCGGUCACAUGGGACUUAAGCUUUUUCAAAUUAAAUUUGCCUUUGUAGGCCUUUGACUUCUUUCUUCCAAGUUUAACUUCAGAGUAUUGGGGAACCUUUGGCUUUUCAAACUUUGCCAAGACGGUUAGCCACUUGGGACUUAACCUUUUCAACUUCAUUUCGCCCUUGUAGGCACUUCAGUUUGAUUUCCUCCUUCCAAGAGUUUUUUAUUUUGAAACAUUGGCCGCCAUGGCCAGUCGGGGUCGACUUGGUGCCCCUUCCGAGACUGGGUGCCUAUUUUGUAUAUUAGCUUGUAUCAAACGGGAGCCCUAUAAAUCAGUCUUGUCAUCCCUUCUUUGUCUUAGUUUUUGGAAACAAAGUUAGACUGAAAAUGAAUCAAAGAAAAAUAAGCAAUUGAAUGGAGAAUAAGUUUAAACAAGAGGUAUCCCUUACCGGGAAAGGAUAGAAGGACUUAUUUGGAGUAAAUGCAGACUUCGGUGAACAUGACACGCUUUUUGGAAUGGAUGCCUGAUCUGUGCAAACUGUCCGACUCUCAGAAAUUGAUCACAACCUUUGCCUCAAAACCGAGAAACCUUGCCCAGGACUGUGUCGAUGGCAAUGGCUGUGAGGAUUAUCUUUUUGAUCAGUGGCGCCCUUUGAGGGUUUUCACCAGUUGACCUCUCUCAUUUAUCUUCUCACCAUCACCUUAUAGUGCUCUUUGCGAGUUUUCAAUACAAGACUCUCUCAUUUUAGUUUCUUUACUCCCCAUCGCCUUAUGGUGCUCGUGAGAAUUUUCACCAAUAAGACUAUCUCAUUUUGGUUGAAUCAGAUUAAAGUAACUGUAUCCUCCAAUUUUGAACAUCUUUGUCGAUUGAUCAGAAGUACUUGGAAAGGAUUUGGGUAAAAGAAUUUUGGAUUGAAUUAUAACUUUGGAACCUUUUGGUAUGAUUGAAUCCCAGAGAGAGGCUGCCUAUGUAUCCUUUUGGAAUCAAGUCAAACUUAGUUCAAUUAGCAAGAACUGCUUUGGAUUUUUGUUUUGUUUUCUUUUACUUCUUCUUUCUCUCCACUUUUUUCUUUCUUGUUUUUUUUUUAAUAAUAUCUUAAGGUUCCAAAAAGGGUAAUUAAAGAAAGGUAACCGGCUCAAAAAGGGUUAGAAAAGGGUCAACCAUAGUACCUUUUGACUGCAUCCGCGUUGACAGUUGUUUUAGGGACAUUUCUUUCGAUGCUUCCAAAGUGCAGCACUAUCUUUUGGCAUUACUCUCGUUACAAUGUAUGGACGUUUCUAGGUUGGAGCCAAUUAUCCUUUAGCUUCUUCACGAGGUGGGAGGAUACGUCUCAGAAUAAGUUGUCCUAUUUCAAAUUUCCUAGGUCAUACUUUCUUGUUGUAGACACGGACCAUUCUUGUGUUGGUACAACUAUCAGUGGCAAGCUGCGGCGAAUCAUUUUUUCAUUAAUCAGUGUCAAUUGUUCUAAUCGGUUCUUGACCCAAUCUUUAUCCUAAAUCUCGUUUUCAACAAUGAUCCAAAGAGAGGGAUUUUCGACUUUUUUCAAUUUCAUUCGAACAUGGCUUAGGCCUACUGUUCCAAUUCUUUGUUUAUUUUCUCACAAACUUCAUCGUCAACACAUUCUGCUUCUUGAUUCAUUAUUUCGAGGUCUGGCAGCUUUUUAGGAUCUGGGCAUAAAGUCCGCAAGCAUGUCAUGUUAUUAAAAUCUGCAUUAAUAGAACUGAAAAUAGAAUAAGCAAAGUGAUAAGAAUAGAAAAAUAGAACUCAAAUCGGCAUUUGAAUUUUUUUGUUUAAUUUUUAAAGAUAGAAGGGUUUACAUGAAAAAGUAAGACAAAAAAGUAAAACAAUCGGAUUACACCCUAAAAUAAUCCGAAAGCAGAAAAGACAGCAAGACGGUCUGACAGAGAACUUUUCAAGUUUGGCGCCUGCUUUUUGGUUUCUCUUCUACUGCGGCAAUGGCUACUAUGGCUUUCAAUGCUGGAUCAAAUUUCCCAUCAUCACAGAUUAUUACAACGACUAGGCCGUUGUUGUGAUUAGGAAAAAAAUUGGUUGUUACAUUAGGAGCCUCUUCAUCCCUAAGAAGGAUUCGCUUAGCUUCAAUCAAGUCUUCAACUCCCCUUUUGAGGGUCCAAUAGUCCUUUGUAUUGUGUCCCACUGCUCCAGAGUAAUAUUCACAUCUAGCAUCAGCUUGGUGCGAGGGGGACUUGGGGUUUGGCUGCUUCGGGGCCACUGGCUGCAGCAGGCCUAGCCUGACUAACUUUUGGAACAAACUUGAAUACGAUUCACCAAUUCUGAGGGGCUCUCUUGGGCGAGGAUUGUAUUAGGGAACAUUUGGUUGAGGAUUAUACGGAUCUUGGUAUGGAUAUGCAUUUACGGGAGGUGGAGCUCAGUUUUGUGUAUAAUGUUGUGGUCGUGUGUAAGUUUGCGCGUUCAUCACUGCAUAGGGAACCGGUGCCACGACAUAAGAAGCAUCUUGAUGGGGAUAAUAGUGUUGUGGGACCUUACGAGGCAUAUAUGACUGGUUGAAUAACCUACGGGCCCCCACGAGCUAGAAGCCAUCAUGGCUUCCUCUUCUCUCCUGUUUCUGUUCAUCAACCCCCCUGAACCAUUCAUAAUGGCCUGUGAUGUGGCCUUAAAGAUAGCAUGACUCAAAAUUCUGCCCGUUUUAAACCAUUUUCGACCCGCUCUCCAAUUUUGAUAGCCAUAGUGAACGUCUUACCCGUAGCGAACAUUAUGUUCUGGAAGUAGUCUACCUCUUGGGUCUGUAGGAAGCUCGUAACCAUUUCUGCUUCGUCGAUUGAAGGCUUUACCCCGACAGCUUGCUCACGCCAUUGAUAGUAUAUUCACGGAAAAUUACCGCAGUUUUCUUUUUCAAACUGGACAAAGAGUUUCUGUCGGGAGCGAUGUCCACAUUAUACUGGAACUGGCGGACAAAAUCUUAGGCCAGAUCGUCCCACACAUGCCAAUGGGUAAUUUCUUGAUCCAUAUACCACUCAGAAGCCAUUCUGGUGAGGCUUUCUCCAAAAUUGGCCAUUAACAUCUCCUCUUUUCCACCAGCACCCCUCUUCUAGUUACAGAAUCAUUUCAAAUGAGCGAUUGGGUCUCCGUGCCCGUCGUGCUUUUCAAGUUUUGGCAUUUUGAAGCCAGUCAGCAAAUGAACAUAGGGAAAUAUACACAGGUCAUAGUAUGAGACACUUCUUUGGCCACUCAGGCCUUGCAUGUUUUUCAGGCUUUGUUCCAGGCUUUUCAUCUUCUGAGCCAUUUCCUAUUGCUCGGGAUUCUUGACAAACCUUUUUUGCUCAACCGAGAAGUCACAUUGUGGAGGUUGAGUAAACGAGUAUGGGGUCACAUAUGUUAUUUCUGGUUAGAACUGUGGAUCCUAAAAGGUGAACGUUGGAGGCACAACAUACGGCCGUGGUAUAGUUGGUUGUGUUGUCGUGCAGACUGGUGCUGCAGAGAACAUUGAUGGCGGUGUCUUUGAAGCCGGCGCCUGGGGGUGAACCAUAAAAGGCAUGCCAGGACCGUUAGACGACAUUAGAGAGUACCCGCAUGAGAUGAACGGGUUGAGCACAGGGAUGUUGGUAGCCGCACCUGACCUUUGGAUCAACUUAGGGAACCCAGGAAUUGCACUCGGCAGUUCCCUACCAUUAGACCAGGUGUCCCACAUUUCCAACAUGCGGAGAUGCAACAUCCUAUUCUUAUCAGCAGUUGCUGAUUCUGGUUGUGCUAUAGCCGAUACCGGGCAAUCCUUAGGAUCGAUAAUUAGUGGAUGACUUUUGGAGACCAUAAGAACCCUGCCUUUGGAUCUUGUGAAGUAAGGAUGGGAAGCCAGAUUACCAACAAAAAUCAACCACCAAAAUAGAACCUGGCUCAAUUGCAUGCACAACAACCUUCUUAGUUUUGAGGCAUUUAACAUACAGAAAAUCACACUUUGGGAUGCAAUGCACUUAAACAAUAAAAUGCUUCUACCAUGCGUUUGAACGUUUGCGUAUUUUGUCCUGUCUUUUAAAUGUCCCUUUCCAUUCUAUACCUCUAUCAUUUCCAUUUAUGGCUCUCUUUUUCGAUUACUUUACUCUUGCUUUCUUUUUUUUCGCUCUUUAUUUUUCUCUGUUAUUUUUGUCACACUUUUCCUUCUUUUUCUUUCUCUUUUUUUUACUCAGUUUAUUUAAUGGUAAUGAUCGAAUCCGAUAGGGAUUGCCUGUGAUUCAUGAUGCCGCAUGAAUCAGAUUAUUACGUAAUUUGGGGAUACCUGGAACAAAGUACAUAAGCUAGCUCUUUUUUAGUUUUUUAUCGAUUUAAUUUUUUUUAUUUGUUCUAUGGGAAUUUUUGAAAAGAAGACUUCAUAAAGAAGAAAGAAAAUAUUCUUGGAUUUCGACUUGUUCUUUGGGGAAUUUUUGACAAAAAAGACUUCUAAAGAAAGAAGAAAAUAUUUUUUGAUUUUGAUAUUUUUGCUUUUGAAUUUUCAAAAGAACAAGUUCUAAAGAAGAAAAAAAAUAUUUUAGAUUUUGAAUUAAAAAAAAUUUUCUUUUUUUUUUUGAAUGAAAGACUUCGGAAAAGAAGGAAAAUAUUUUUUGGAUUUUCUAAGGAAAGAGUUCUAAGAAGGAAUUAAGUAAAGGGAAAAUAUUUUUAGAUUUUUUAUAAAAAUAGAUGGCUGGAACCGAUGAGAUUUACCUACGUAUCUCACAUCCUGUGAGAAUCAGACCCGCGUAGUUCGAUAAGUUUUGACACAACAGGAAAAACAUGACUUUCGAAAACAUUGGCUUAUUUUGAAAUGAUUUUUUUCCUUCAAAAAUGCGGCAGAGUUUCGGGAUUUUCAAAUACUUGGACUUUCAGAACCGGGUAAAUCUCCCUCUCCUCACUCUUAUUUUUUAUUGCUUUUCUUUUCCUAGUAUAGAAGCCGGUGAACAUGCAAGACGAAUUAAAUAAAUGCACAAGUAGAUCGUAAAAUGCAUCAGGAUGGUCUUUUAAUUUUGGGUACACCUGUCCUAGACGGACCCAACCCCUCUGUUGAUUCCCCAAAGUCAAAUUCACGUGAUGCAAACAAGCGUUCCUACUAGGGAUUCAGCAUGAGGCUAUGUUAUUCUAGGUUUGAAUCCCGGGGUGUGUUGUUUUAGACCUGGCUUACCCGAGCGAAUGACUCGAGCCGAGGGGUGGCAAUGUAACGGGAACCAAAAGGCCAUCCGUCUUUGUAACUUAUCCGAUCCUCGUUCUAAAUUAGGGAUAUGACACUCUAACAGAAAAGAAGCCACGCCAACGUGCGCUUCCCAGAAGAUUUAUAAAGACUUCGAGAGAGAAGGGUUUCGUAACAACUUAUAUACAGUUCACAUAAUAUCAAAGCGGUAAAUGAGCGGCAAUUAGUGCAUUACAACCAAACAUGUAAUAUCAGACAAUCACUAGAAAGCCAAGCAUAACAGUUACUCUAAGCUCAAAUUCUGAACCCUGAACUAGAAGUUUUGGGUUCGUGAUCCCCAACAAAUUUACCAGAGCUGUCACGCCUCCUUUUUCCGAAGAAUAGGGAGUUUUUGCAAUUAAAGUGACAUUAUUCGAAAUGGGAUUAUUUAUUUAAUUAGAAUCGCCGUUUGGGGUAAUUAUUAUGGUAUCCCAAGUCACAGGUUUAUUUUAUAAUCUCAAAUCAAGGUAAUUAACUCUAUUAUGGUCCGCGAAGGUAUGAGGUACUCCCUAGUUCCAUAGAUUUAGCACGAUCGCUGAAUAAUUAAUAAUUAUCCUAAUUAUCUUACUAAGUAAACGUUUAAAACCUAUUAUGCAUUACCGCUUCUAUACCGCUUUUAAUUAUUUAUUUAAUCGCUUUUAGUAUUUAUGGAAUUUAUUUGAACAAGUUGCGAAGUCGUGCACUUGUUGUUUUUGUACAUAUUGCGAAUCGCGCCACGUGAAAUGCACUCACGAUUUACAACAUGUUUAUUUUUAUUAUUAUUUGAAGUUGAGGUCAAGUCGCGUGAAACGCACACUUGAGUUGGAAUUUACGUAUCUUGACAAUGCCAUUAUAACUAUGGAACUUGUUUGUGAAUGAAAAUGUAAACACUAGUCCAUUCUAAUUCUUUGGACCCUUGAAGCAUUAUAACUAGUUAAAAGUGAUCAAUUAUGAUGGGGAACUGGACACGGGCAGUGGUUAAGGGCUCCAUUCCUAAUUUGUUUUUUUUUUCCUUCAAUAUAUGAGGCCCACGUUGUAAUCUCUAAAAGAUCUAGUACGGGCCUAUGCAAGCUUGGGGUAUGGCCCAUUAUUCUGCUACCAAUUCAGUCAUACAAUCAGAGACAAUUACACAUACCUCUAAGCCUUAAUAUUUGAUUAAAUAGCACAUUCUUGAAUCAAAGUGAACUACUCAUAUGAAGGAAAAUUCAUAUUACAGUUAAGUAGUAAAGGAAAUAGUGUUUUAAUGGUUGAGUGUAACAACACAAAUCAUGCUUGCAAAGAAUUACUACUCCCUAAACUUUACGUUUGAAACUGAGAGAAUCAAAUGAUCAAAAUCACAAUUACUUUUAUGCAACCCGGUUUGAAAUGAAUUACAUAUACCUACAGCUAUUAUUUCAGAGUUAAUACAAAAUUCUAGUUUUCGGAGACAUUGAGAAUCCUUCAACAUUCGCGACUCCUCAGGCUAGUUUUUAGCUCACAAUCAAAGCACACAUUGUUAUCAAUUCAAUCAAUACUUCAAAUUAAUUCUAGAAGCUCAUAAACUCCAUUGAUUUCCAAUGGUCAUGCUACAAUCUUGAUUAUCCCUCAACAUCAAAAAGGUCAUAUGAACAAACUGAAAAACUCAAAUUCAUUACAAAUUGGAACCGGUACAAGGGUAGUGGUAAUUGGUGAAUAAACUCAACUCAGAAUUUUAGCUUCUUAACGCAGAUACAAACACAUCACAGCUGAACAAUCAGUAUAAAUAAACCUUAUAUCAAUUAACAUGGAUACAUGAAAUUAAACAUGGACACAACAUGCAAUUCAGAUCUUCAAGUAAACAUCCUAUCAGAGAAAUACAGAGGUACAAUCACAUACCUAGAAGCAAAAUCAAUAGAUGAACUUGACAGAAAUAAAGGUUGGAGAUGAAAGGUGAAAUCUAGCAAGCAAGAAACAGCAACAAACUCAACAAUUAAGUCAAAAGUUCCACAGUUUAAAUGCCACUCGAAAUCCAAGAAAAAGUGAAGCAAAACCAGUAGAAAUUGGAAGGAGAACCAACUUUGAAUUUUUUUUUUGUUUUAUGUAUCUAAUUUGAACUUCGGGUUUGUUUUUCUAUCAAGAGAAGUCCGUGAGGAUAAAGGAAUAUGUGUGAGAUUUCUGCUGUGUUUUUCUGAAGAAUGCAUAAAUAAAAGAUGCCUAAACUAUGUGUGUGAGUGAGUCUUUUAUGCAGAAAAAUGAGAGAAUGUGUGAGAGAAUCUGUCAGCUGAAAAAUAGGAAAGAAGCAUAUGUUUUUAACAUAUUUUUGGACAGUUGUCCAUUCAGAUUAUUCCUUCCUUUUUUAAUUGCCCCUUUAAUUUCUGAAUUUACCCCUUUUUACCCUAAAUUUGACAUAAUUUCCCUUGUCUUAUUGUAUUUUAUUCCCUUUCUAGAAGCUUCCUACAUAGCUACCUAAAAUUUCCUAUUUUGCUUUCCCAAUUACCCCCUUAAAUUUAUGAUAUUUAUAAAUUAACUCUAACAAGAAAAUCAAACUGAUCCAGAGAUAAAGCAGAACUGACAAUUAUGCAAAUUAACUGAAUAAUCUGGUUCAACAUCUAAUUAAUUCAAAAUCAAUUAUCAUAACAACUCAUGCAAUUAACUAACUAACAUGUAAUUAAAUAUUAACCAAUUCAUGCAAAAGAUGAGACUAUCUAAUCUUAAAUCCUAUUUGGUACGAAUCAUGUUUAAAAUUUGAGAAGAGUAGCAUACUUUGAGAAAACUUGAAGAAAAGAGAACUAAUUAAUCGAAGAGGAAAGAAAAGAAAGAAAUUACCUAUUAAUCUUUAAACAAAAUAGCAUAGAGCUCCGACGGAAUCUGGACGGUCAAACAAUGGCAUUGAUCAAAAUAUGACCUCCAAGAUACGGCAUGAAACUUACAUCAACGAAUAGUUCUCAUCAAGAGCUUCCAAAUGAUGUAAAUUUUAACUGUAAAUGGAUGGAAUCAGUCAAGUGAUUAGAAGGGAAAAGGCGACGGCUAUGGUUUAGUUUCAAGAUCUAAAAAUUGACAAGAACAAGAAAGCUUUGAAAGGAAAAGUUAAGGGAUUUGGAGAGAUGAGGAUGUGAGGAUCUUUUGGUGAAGGUUUGAGGGUGUUUGGAGGUGAGCCGCCGGAGAGAGGAGUUUUUGGUAAAGGUUUAAGGGUCGGGUUCAGACAGCUAUAUGGGGGGAAAUGAUUAGAUACGAGCCAUUUG